AUUGAACGCUGGCGGCAGGCCUAACACAUGCAAGUCGAACGGUAACAGGAAGAAGCUUGCUUCUUUGCUGACGAGUGGCGGACGGGUGAGUAAUGUCUGGGAAACUGCCUGAUGGAGGGGGAUAACUACUGGAAACGGUAGCUAAUACCGCAUAACGUCGCAGGACCAAAGAGGGGGACCUUCGGGCCUCUUGCCAUCGGAUGUGCCCAGAUGGGAUUAGCUAGUAGGUGGGGUAACGGCUCACCUAGGCGACGAUCCCUAGCUGGUCUGAGAGGAUGACCAGCCACACUGGAACUGAGACACGGUCCAGACUCCUACGGGAGGCAGCAGUGGGGAAUAUUGCACAAUGGGCGCAAGCCUGAUGCAGCCAUGCCGCGUGUAUGAAGAAGGCCUUCGGGUUGUAAAGUACUUUCAGCGGGGAGGAAGGGAGUAAAGUUAAUACCUUUACUCAUUGACGUUACCCGCAGAAGAAGCACCGGCUAACUCCGUG
This 490-nucleotide ribosomal RNA is filed under the name uncultured bacterium. Its description in RNAcentral is "partial 16S ribosomal RNA". It matches the Rfam family "Bacterial small subunit ribosomal RNA", at positions 30 to 507 of the family's 1533-position model. The record is from RNAcentral.